CCUGGUCUAGUCCUCUACCUGUGUUCAGGUUGGGAAUUAACCUGGUCUAGUCCUCUACCUGUGUUCAGGUUGGGAAUUAACCUGGUCUAGUCCUCUACCUGUGUUCAGGUUGGGAAUUAACCUGGUCUAGUCCUCUACCUGUGUUCAGGUUGGGAAUUAACCUGGUCUAGUCCUCUACCUGUGUUCAGGUUGGGAAUUAACCUGGUCUAGUCCUCUACCUGUGUUCAGGUUGGGAAUUAACCUGGUCUAGUCCUCUACCUGUCUACAUGGUAAAGAUCUUGUGCUUGACAACAUUGCUUGAUUCAUUUGUGGUUCGACAUCAGUCUCUCUUGAUUGGAGGAGGCAGCAGCGAGCGGUUUUAGUCUGUAGCCCGGCGACUGACGGCAGGAGCGUUAGGGGAUAGUCCUGAUGGCGUCUUAUCGAUGGUGGGUUGGCGUGGUCGUUGGCGUGGUCGUUGUGCUGCUCCCCAAAUGGCACCCUAUUCCCUAUGAAGUACACUACUUUUAGACCAGAACCCUAUGGACCUUGGUCAAACACCCUGUACACUAUGUAGGGAGUAGGGCUCCAGUAGUGCACUAUGUAGGGUUCCAGUAGUGCACUAUGUAGGGAGUAGGGCUCCAGUAGUACACUAUGUAGGGAGUAGGGCUCCAGUAGUACACUAUGUAGGGAGUAGGGCUCCAGUAGUACACUAUGUAGGGAGUAGGGUUCCAGUAGUACACUAUGUAGGGAGUAGGGUUCCAGUAGUGCACUAUGUAGGGAGUAGCGUUCCAGUAGUGCACUAUGUAGGGAGUAGGGUUCCAGUAGUACACUAUGUAGGGAGUAGGGUUCCAGUAGUGCACUAUGUAGGAGUAGGGGUUCCAGUAGUGCACUAUGUAGGGAAUAGGGUUCCAGCUGAGAGGAAAACCUUGGAUAGUGAUGUUACAUUCCAUUAAACUGUCACUGUUCUGCUCCACUUUCUUCUUCUUCAGUUUCACUGACCUGCUAACGUCAUUUUGUAUUUCCGUGUCAAGUAGGAGGUUUGGGAAACGUCUAGAACAAAGAGGACUCCUAAUACUCAGACUGUUUUUAAACCAGCAGAGCAGGAAGAAUUUCCCCUCGUUGCUGCUUCAAGUUGCUGCUUCAAGUUGCUGCUUCAAGUUGCUGCUUCAAGUUGCUGCUUCUAGUCGCUGCUUCUAGUCGCUGCUUCUAGUCGCUGCUUCUAGUCGCUGCUUCUAGUCGCUGCUUCUAGUCGCUGCUUCUAGUCGCUGCUUCUAGUCGCUGCUUCUAGUCGCUGCUUCUAGUCGCUGCUUCUAGUCGCUGCUUCUAGUCGCUGCUUCUAGUCGCUGCUUCUUCUUUCCAUCCCCAGUUUUUAUUUUAAUUUUCCGGUUUUCUUUUGAUACUUGUGGUUCAGAACUCGUUAAUGGGGAGAAAAGGGAGGUUGUUGUUGGGCUGGUUGUCUUUGUCCAUGUCUUUUUGGAAAUGUUCAUACGAAACACCCAAAAGCAUAACUGUUAUCUGGAGGGAAAUGUUAUUUCAUGUAUGUGGAAUUAAAAAGAUAAUUUAAAAGUU
Molecule: long non-coding RNA, 1548 nt
Organism: Oncorhynchus keta (chum salmon)
Lineage: Eukaryota; Metazoa; Chordata; Actinopteri; Salmoniformes; Salmonidae
Exons: 2
Source: RefSeq, a predicted model, not a curated record